GAGCACGUAGGUGGGUUUGUAAGUCUGACUGUGAAAUCCCUCGGCUUAACCGAGGAACUGCAUCGGAUACUGCGGGACUAGAGUGCAGGAGGGGAGAGUGGAAUUCCUGGUGGAGCGGUGAAAUGCGUAGAUAUCAGGAGGAACGCCGGUGGCGAAAGCGACUCUCUGGACUGUAACUGACGCUGAGGUGCGAAAGCCAGGGGAGCGAACGGGAUUAGAUACCCCGGUAGUCCUGGCCCUAAACGAUGGGCACUAAGUAGAGGGGUUUU
RNAcentral lists this ribosomal RNA (269 nucleotides) under uncultured bacterium. RNAcentral describes it as "partial 16S ribosomal RNA". It matches the Rfam family "Bacterial small subunit ribosomal RNA", at positions 565 to 832 of the family's 1533-position model. The record is from RNAcentral.